CCGGCGGGGGGGGCGGGACGCUGUCCGUGGCUCUGCGGCUCGCGGGCCCCGCGCGGCGGAGGAGGCGGAUGAGGGGCGGCGGGCUGGGCCGGAGGCUCCUGGCCUCGGGGGGCGGCUGGGGCGCCGCGCUGCCGGCCCCAAGGAGAGGUUUUGCUGCCACAGCCCCUGUGAAGUCGUAUGACAUGAGAAGAGUUGAAAUAACCCCACUGGAACAGAGAAAGCUAACCUUUGAUACCCAUGCAUUGGUACGAGAGCUGGAAGUGCAUGGUUUUGGUAAAGAACAAGCAGAGACCAUUGUAUCAGCAUUAACAACUUUGUCAAAUCUCAGCCUAGACACAGUCUACAAGGAUAUGGUGACCCAAGCUCAGCAGGUGGAAAUAACUCUGCAGCAGAUAAUGGCGCAUUUAGACUCUAUUCGGAAAGAUAUGGUCAUCCUAGAGAAAAGUGAAUUUGCAAACCUGAGAGCAGAGAAUGAGAAAAUGAAAAUUGAGUUGGAUCAAGUUAAACAGCAGCUAAUGAAUGAAACUAGUAAAAUCAGAGCUGAUAAUAAGCUGGACAUAAAUCUGGAAAGGAGCAGAGUGACAGAUAUGUUCACAGAUCAGGAAAAGAAUCUGAUGGAAGCAACUACAGAGUUUCAUAAAAAAGAUUCAAAUACCAACAGUGCUAUUGCAGAAAUCAGUAAUAAAAUUGAUACACAAAUAGCCUCCUUAAAAACUCUCAUGGAAUCAAAUAAACUGGAGACAAUACGUUAUUUGGCAGCUUCUGUUUUCACUUGCCUAGCAAUAGCACUGGGAUUUUAUAGGUUUUGGAAAUAGACCCAGUGGAACUACUGCACUACAGAUAGAAGAAGAAAAGGCCACUGACAUCAUGGAACAUCUGUUUGGUCAUACUGUGUUCGCUACUGCGGGAAUAUUUCCAACACACCUCUGAACAACAUACUAACCCACAGAGACCUUCCUACCAAGACUACAAAAAGAAGGAUUCUGGGUGGAUUCCUCCUGAAGGUCGAAACAACAGACUGGACUUCUGCAUAGAGUGUUUCCGCCAAUGUGCACGGGCUGAAAUUGUGGAAAAGCAGCAUCCCUUGCCCCAUAACCUCAGCCGUGCAGAACACAGUGCCUUCCACAGCUUCAGAAACAACUCUGACAUCAUAAUCAAAAAGGCUGACAAAGGAGGUGCUGUCGUCAUCAUGAAUAGGUCUACCAAUGUGAUAUAUGCCAUCAUGUGCCAGCAAUGCCCCUCUGCCUACAUUGGCCAAACUGGACGGUCUCUACAUAAAAGAAUAAAUGGACACAAAUCAGAUGUCAAGAAUUAUAACAUUCAAAAACCAGUCGGAGAACACUUCAAUCUCUUUGGUCACUCGAUUACAGACCAAAAAGUCGCAAUUCUUCAACAAAAAAACUUCAAAAACAGACUGAGAGACUGCUGAAUUGGAAUUAAUUUGCAAACUGGAUACAAUUAACUUAGGCUUGAAUAGAGACUGGGAGUGGAUGGGUCAUUACACAAAGUAAAACUAUAUUUCCCCAUGUUUAUUCCCCGCCCCCCUCUCCCCACUGUUCCUCAGAUGUUCUUGUCAACUGCUGGAAAUGGCCCACCUUGAUUAUCACUACAAAAGGUUUCCCCCCCCCCCCCCCCGCUCUCCUGCUGGUAAUAGCUCACCUUACCUGAUCACUCUCCUUACAGUGUGUAUGGUAACACCCAUUUAUAUAUGUGAUAUAUAAAUCUCCCCACUGUAUUUUCCACUGAAUGCAUCUGAUGAAGUGAGCUCUAGCUCACAAAAGCUUAUGCUCAAAUAAAUUGGUUACUCUCUAAGGUGCCACAAGUCCUCCUUUUCAUAGAAUCAUAGAAUAUCAGGGUUGGAAGGGACCUCAGGAGGUCAUCUAGUCCAACCCCCUGCUCAAAGCAGGACCAAUCCCCAAUUAAAUUUUCUUUUUGCGGUUACAGACUAACACGGCUGCUACUCUGAAACCUGUACUCUAUUUAUGUAUUUUCCUUGUAUGUGCUCUGUACCUAGAGAAUUAAUCAUUUUUUCAUCCCUUUGUAUGAUAGAUUUAGGUGUGUUACAAGUAAAGGUUUUAGAGAAUCACUUGAGCCUAUUCUAAACACCAUAUUUAUAGUUAAGGGUCUACUUAAAUCACAGAACAAUCACACAUUUUUUGCAGGUUGGUCAUGGCACAAAUAGCAAAUUCGCAGAUGUUUAUGCGGUGACCAACCUACAGCGGAUUUCUCCACAGCGUUUCUCAAACUGGGGGCCCCAACCCAAAAGAGGGUUGCAGGCCUGUUGUAGGGGGCUUAUGGUACUGUCACCCUUACUCCAGCAGCCGUGCCGCCUGAUGCUGGGCGGCAGGAGAGUGGCAGCUACUGGCUGGGUGCCCAGUUCUGAAGGCAGCUCCCCCACCACCAGCAGCAGAGAAAUAAGGGUGACAUGGCAUUGCCAGCCUUACUUCUGUGCUGCCGCUCCUGGUGGCGGCACUGCCUUCAGAGCUGGGUGCCCGGCCAGCAGCCACUGCUCUCCACUCUCCCUUCAGACUGGGCAGCCAGAGACCAGAUUUUCAUGGUACAUGACUUGAUUUUCAUGGCUGUGAAUUUGGUAGACCCCUAUUUAUUCAUCUUCCAGUGUACCUCAACCAUUUCCGUUUGCAGCAUCCACUUCUAACUGAUCCACAAAGGGCUCUUUGCAGUGAUGAAUACUACACAAAUAUUUGACACCAAAAAUGACUGGUAAUCACAUCUGCAGUUCUCUUCCACAGAUCAUGAUUCAUUUGCUCUCAAUAGGUAGAACCCAGGAGUUGCAUUUCCCCCUGUCAUUACCUGCUCCUCAGUAAUGGCUAAUCAGUUUUAAGAUUUGGUAUCUGCCAAACUGACACUGUAAGGAAGGAUAGUUACAUGUCUGAAUUGGGCAUAAAGGAAUCUGAAUUUAAGGCAUCUGGAAGAAAGGGCAAGUUACUCCAAGUUAGAUUCUCCUCUGAAAUUGACCUAUAAUCUUUAUUACCCAAAGAAUCCUCAAAAUAGAGGAAUCAUCACCUCCUGUUCCUUAAAUAUCCCUCCCCAUUACGUGACUGUUUCUCACGUGAAAGGCAACACUUUUAUUCUUUGUUCCCCCUUCGUAAUCAUUUUAGUCUUCCCUAAUUGCAUGGAAUUGAGUAAAUUUCUACUGUGGAAGUAUGUGUUUUGUUGAAUGGAAUGUGUCUCAUUUGCAUGUGCAGCAGGCUCAUUAAAACCAAUGUAAGUUUUGAGAACAGCUUGAUGGUAGGCUUAGGCUUAAUGGCUGCAGGAGUAAAUUGGGAUCUAGGGAGCAUGAGUUGUUCGGAAUUUUCUGUCUGAUUAUUGUAUGUUUUCAGUCAUAGAACUUUUUAUUUUAUUCACCAGCUUCCCUCAGCUUUCAGAGUUGUGUUUUCUUGGCUUCUUUCUUUCUUGAUUCUGCAGUAUCUUUGUAUAUGGAGGGCUUGAGUUAAAUUUAAAAGGUCUUUCUCCACUGCUCAUCCUACUUUUGCAAAAUAAAUGGCCAUUCCAGCAAAGUGUUGACGUCAAUGUGAGUCAUUGGGCAGCUAGUCGUAUGCUUGGAGCCUAUGUUUUAUGUUGCAUCUUCCUGACCUGCUGCUGCUAUGUGCUACAAGGGCCUCUCCCCAAAACUUCCCCUUAGCCUGUGAUGAACCUUGCAUCCAGGGCAAGUAUAUCCUCGGCCAUUAGGCACUGGGAGCCCAUACGUUUGUUUUCCCAUUCAAACAAAGCUGAUUUCUCCUAACUAACCAUGGGAGGAGGCAACACCGCUGUAUUAAAUGCAUUUGCUGGAA
This is an RNA transcript of Caretta caretta (loggerhead turtle), 3794 nucleotides long. It is a transcript of the gene named coiled-coil domain containing 90B, with no coding region annotated. The record is from RefSeq and is a predicted model, not a curated record. Lineage: Eukaryota; Metazoa; Chordata; Testudines; Cheloniidae.